Actinokineospora bangkokensis is the source of this 69-nucleotide non-coding RNA. It matches the Rfam family "ASpks TB sRNA". NCBI's taxonomy places the organism in Bacteria, Bacillati, Actinomycetota, Actinomycetes, Pseudonocardiales, Pseudonocardiaceae. The record is from Rfam.
CUUCAGCGAGCCCAGCCACAGCGGGGUCUCCCGGUCCUGGCCGUAGGUCGCCAGCAGCGCCUGGGCCUC